Molecule: ribosomal RNA, 253 nt
Filed under: uncultured bacterium
Lineage: Bacteria
Description: partial 16S ribosomal RNA
Rfam family: Bacterial small subunit ribosomal RNA
Source: RNAcentral
UACGUAGGGUGCAAGCGUUGUCCGGAAUUAUUGGGCGUAAAGAGCUCGUAGGCGGUCUGUCGCGUCUGGUGUGAAAAUCCAGGGCUUAACCCUGGACCUGCAUCGGGUACGGGCAGACUAGAGUGCGGUAGGGGAGAUCGGAAUUCCUGGUGUAGCGGUGAAAUGCGCAGAUAUCAGGAGGAACACCGGUGGCGAAGGCGGAUCUCUGGGCCGUAACUGACGCUGAGGAGCGAAGGCAUGGGGAGCGAACAGG